GAGCUGCAGCUGCAUGUGUUGCAUAUCAACUCGAAAAGGUACAUGUUUAAAUUCUACAAUCUUAAUAUUGAGUGAGAAACAAUAAUAUCUUACAAUAUUCGUUCGCUAAUGGUAUUUUAGUUCGAAAUCGCACUCAACAACAAACCUGCAGCCCCAUCUACGACAAAACCUUACAAAACCAGAACAUAAUUGGGGCAGGAUAAACGGAUCAUCGUUCCCCACACUUAUUUUAAUCCAGGCUGAUAGUGUUGUUCUUAUCAUUGACUACACAAUUGGUGGUCUUAGAAAUUUGAAAUUAUUUACAUAUCUAGACUAAGAUGGCAUAUAUCUUCUAUACAAAAUUCUAACCAAGGGAUUGGCAAGUUUUAACUUGAUCCAAAAUCUUCCUAGCUCAAAUUGUGGCAUUGCCGAAAAUUAUUCAAACCAACCUUAUCAUGUAAUAAUUACAUGCAGCUUUUUGACUAUGUUAAUUUUUUUUUUUUAACUAAGGAGUUUUUCCCACCUGCAAAGAUUGACUAUGUUGAUUGUUUUGUAUAGAAACUGAAAUUUGAGGGCAAUGAUAAGAUUAGAUAAGUCAAGAAGAGAAGAUAUGCUAAGAAAUAGGCCAAAGAGAGUUUUAUACCAAAUCGUCUCCAGGAUCCAAACUCGAAAAUUUCUUAUUAAAGCAUUAAACAGCUCUUUUCAUCUUCUGCAGAUCCAGUAUAUAUGUACAGGUACCAUCUCCUGAUUCUAGAUCAUCAUCUGUUGAAGUUAUUAGGCGCGCAUUUAAGGGUGAAGGUUUUGGUGGAAAACCUUCUAAAGAUGUUGCCAAAGAUUUAUCUACAUCUGGAUUUUUGGUGGAGUCUGCAACUAGAAGAUGUUAUGGAUAUUGUUUUUGAUUAUUAUUGUUGGUGAAACGUAAAGGAAUCAUGAUGACUGAACAAGUAAAUUAUCUUUGGUCUAGAAAAUGGGUACGGUUGAAGGCAGUUUUUUAGACUGCAUGGAGCAUGUGAAAAAGAAAGAGAGAAAA
Molecule: long non-coding RNA, 1009 nt
Filed under: Brassica napus (rape)
Lineage: Eukaryota; Viridiplantae; Streptophyta; Magnoliopsida; Brassicales; Brassicaceae
Description: long non-coding RNA (BNAP_LNC014389)
Source: RNAcentral